Molecule: ribosomal RNA, 876 nt
Filed under: Lactiplantibacillus plantarum
Lineage: Bacteria; Bacillati; Bacillota; Bacilli; Lactobacillales; Lactobacillaceae
Description: bacterial SSU rRNA
Rfam family: Bacterial small subunit ribosomal RNA
Source: RNAcentral
CCUGGCUCAGGACGAACGCUGGCGGCGUGCCUAAUACAUGCAAGUCGAACGAACUCUGGUAUUGAUUGGUGCUUGCAUCAUGAUUUACAUUUGAGUGAGUGGCGAACUGGUGAGUAACACGUGGGAAACCUGCCCAGAAGCGGGGGAUAACACCUGGAAACAGAUGCUAAUACCGCAUAACAACUUGGACCGCAUGGUCCGAGCUUGAAAGAUGGCUUCGGCUAUCACUUUUGGAUGGUCCCGCGGCGUAUUAGCUAGAUGGUGGGGUAACGGCUCACCAUGGCAAUGAUACGUAGCCGACCUGAGAGGGUAAUCGGCCACAUUGGGACUGAGACACGGCCCAAACUCCUACGGGAGGCAGCAGUAGGGAAUCUUCCACAAUGGACGAAAGUCUGAUGGAGCAACGCCGCGUGAGUGAAGAAGGGUUUCGGCUCGUAAAACUCUGUUGUUAAAGAAGAACAUAUCUGAGAGUAACUGUUCAGGUAUUGACGGUAUUUAACCAGAAAGCCACGGCUAACUACGUGCCAGCAGCCGCGGUAAUACGUAGGUGGCAAGCGUUGUCCGGAUUUAUUGGGCGUAAAGCGAGCGCAGGCGGUUUUUUAAGUCUGAUGUGAAAGCCUUCGGCUCAACCGAAGAAGUGCAUCGGAAACUGGGAAACUUGAGUGCAGAAGAGGACAGUGGAACUCCAUGUGUAGCGGUGAAAUGCGUAGAUAUAUGGAAGAACACCAGUGGCGAAGGCGGCUGUCUGGUCUGUAACUGACGCUGAGGCUCGAAAGUAUGGGUAGCAAACAGGAUUAGAUACCCUGGUAGUCCAUACCGUAAACGAUGAAUGCUAAGUGUUGGAGGGUUUCCGCCCUUCAGUGCUGCAGCUAACGC